RNAcentral lists this ribosomal RNA (364 nucleotides) under Ablepharus sikimmensis. Its description in RNAcentral is "partial small subunit ribosomal RNA". It matches the Rfam family "Bacterial small subunit ribosomal RNA", at positions 864 to 1397 of the family's 1533-position model. The record is from RNAcentral. Lineage: Eukaryota; Metazoa; Chordata; Lepidosauria; Squamata; Scincidae.
ACUGUUCGCCCGAGAACUACAAGCGAAAAACUUAAAACUCUAAGGACUUGGCGGUGCUCCAUAUCAACCUAGAGGAGCCUGUCCUAUAAUCGAUACCCCACGCUACACCUCACCACCCCUAGAAACCCAGCCUAUAUACCGCCGUCGACAGCCUACCUUAUGAGAGAAAUUCAGUAGGCACAACAAUUAGUAACUAAUACGUCAGGUCAAGGUGUAGCAUAUGGGGUGGUAGAGAUGGGCUACAUUUCCUCCAACAGGAAAUACGCACAGUGUACUGAAACACCCACCCAAAGGCGGAUUUAGCAGUAAGACAAAUAAGCAUUAUUGCCUCAAACCUGCUCUGGAGCGCGCACACACCGCCCGU